Petromyzon marinus (sea lamprey) is the source of this 1016-nucleotide non-coding RNA. Lineage: Eukaryota; Metazoa; Chordata; Hyperoartia; Petromyzontiformes; Petromyzontidae. The record is from RefSeq and is a predicted model, not a curated record.
GGUGAGGAGAGCAGCGAGAGGUGAGGAGAGCAGCGAGAGCACUACACAAGUACUGUGAAUCGAUUGCCUUCAGAACUUAUUCCAGUGACUCGGGUAUCUUUCAAAGGAGCAAGGGAAAGCGACGACUCUGGUCUGAGACAACGCAGCUUCUCGUCUCAAGACAACUCUCAGACGGUGGAGACGACGCCGAUCCAAGUCGACGACGAUGCCGCCAGCUCCCCACGCCGAGCAGCCCAUGGCUCCGGCUCGCGCCGCUUCUGAAGCUCGCCCGGUGCGAGCCACGCCGCCCCCAAUCACGAAGUUUUCUCACCGCCCUCGUCACGUGACCCCGCCGCUACUCACCGCCCUCAUCACCACGUGACUCCACCGCCACUCGCCGCCCUCAUCACCACGUGACCCCGCCACCACUCGCCGCCCUCAUCACCACGUGACCCCGCCACUCGGUCACGUGCCCCCGCCAUUGGGUCACGUGACUGGGUCACGUUACCCCGUCACCGCCCUCAUCACACGUGCCCCGCCAUUGGGUCACGUGACCCUCCCCCCUCACGUGACCCCGUCAACGUUCGCCUCGUCAAUCAUUAGCACGUCCACCAGUCGCCAUGGUCCCGGGGAACCACACUGUCCCGCUCCGCACUCUCUUUACCUGUAAACAAAUAAAGCCCUCGUGAUUGACGCUUCGGUCACGGACCCUCGCUCCAGCCACAGCUAGCAGCUGAAGGGAAAUGCCUAUCCACUGCUAGCGUGUUGCCAUGCGUUCGCGCGAUUUUCCGAACCGGCCUCAAGACUAGUACCUGGUGCGGUGUGUAGUGAACAUCGCCACUGGGGAGACAAAGGCGGCUGGGCGUGGUGCUGGCCACACCCGUCCCCCCCCCCUCUCUCGUGUGCCGGCAGCCCUCAUUAGGUGCCGCUACGAGUGUGUCGAGGACGUACGAGCAAUGCCUGUCGGUGUAUCUGAGUGCUGGCGUCCUCGUGCAGUGGUUCGCGCAUCGUCACGACUUCUCCUGGGACUCCAGGUG